RNAcentral lists this ribosomal RNA (118 nucleotides) under Citrus x clementina. Lineage: Eukaryota; Viridiplantae; Streptophyta; Magnoliopsida; Sapindales; Rutaceae. The record is from RNAcentral.
UGGUGCAACCACACCAGCACUAAUGCACCGGAUCCCAUCAGAACUCCCAGUUAAGCAUGCUUGGGCGAGAGCAGUACUAAGAUGGGUGACCUCUUGGGAAGUCCUCGUGUUGCACCCC